Molecule: long non-coding RNA, 1845 nt
Filed under: Olea europaea subsp. europaea
Lineage: Eukaryota; Viridiplantae; Streptophyta; Magnoliopsida; Lamiales; Oleaceae
Source: RNAcentral
CCCACGUAUCUAAUCUGUAGAAAAUCUGUACAAAACCCCCUGUACACAUGUCAUUUCCCUUUUACAAUAUGUCAUCCAUAUUUGAACAACAUGCCAUGUCAGACCUAUCUACAUUAUUAAAUUUUUCCCCCCUUUAAACGCUAAUGGCAUGUUUGGUAAGGUAAACCCAGACAAUAUUGACCAAGAAAAUAAAGCUACAAUCUUGUCAAUUAAACUAUCCAAUUCUAUCCGGUACUAUCUAUCAAAUAUGCUAUAAUAUGAUAUAUUCAAUACGCACAAUAGAACCCUCAAAUCAUUCAAACAUCUUACAUAUACAGUGAUGGAAAUGGAUUGCCUGCAAUCCGAAAGGUUGUUCCAGUCGAGCACUUCAUGUAACUGCUCAGAAAAACACAGCUAAAUUACAGGAAAUCCAAGAAAAGGUUAUAUCCAGGCAGCAUCUUCUAGGUACAUGUACUUGGGAGCUUGCCAUCUCUAAACACUGAAGUAACACCAAAUGCAGCAGGAGAGGGAGAAGAGGCAAUGUAGUUCGUUCCUGAUACAAAUACUGUGGAAGGAUUUGAAGAAUGUCACUGCCGCCCAAUACCAACAGCUCCCAGAAAUCAAUGGAAGUAAGUGAAUACACUUCACAUCUCAAGGAUCCAAUUUAAUAGCAUUGAUAAUGGAAAAACCUUGGCCAGAAAUUCACAAAUCUCAAUAAAGGGAAUUGUAUUUGUUUGGGAGUCCUUUCUAAUUUCCAUGCAAUCUGAAUUAGAUAACUAAAUUAAGAAAGAUGAGAUAUUUCUUACCCCAUUGAAACCAUUAUAAAAUCUAUCAAAAAUAUUUCGAUAUUAAGAGCCAGUUGAGUCACACUUGAGAAGAGUGGCUUUUGUCUGAAUAUCCUUAAAAUAACCUUGACAUUAAAAUCCAAAAUGAUAGCUUAGUCUCCUUCUUGUUUCUUUGAUAUAAAAAAUAAAAGAAACUUAAUGAUAGAAGGGCGUAUAUUUGUGAAGUACAAGGAGUACUGAAUUAUAGAAAUAAGAAGUACUCGCGUUCUUCAAUUGUAAUCUGCAAGACAUCAUACUCUCAAUAUGACCAGAUGAUGAACCUCAGUAUUUUAUUUUUUUGGGACACACAUCCCAGAUGGCCUUCUUUAUCUCAUUAGAUGAGGAAAGAUUAAUUUUUAGAUCAUAAACAAACUAAAUGAAACGUAUUGAUUAUAUAAAAUGCUCAACCUGUUGCCGUUGCCAAUAUCAAUCAAUAUAACAAUAUACACAGGAAGGUGGUUUGAGAAUAUUCAACCUAUGACUAGUUCAAAACGCCUAUGGUGUCUUCUUGUGGUUCUAGAUAUUAAACAUGCAAUUAAGAAAAUGUAACAUCAAGAAAUAUAUCGUGCCAAAAUUAUCCAUUUACAUUCACAUGAACAUUUGAUACAAUUUCCAACAUAUGCCAAGGCAGCUUUCCCAAUAUGCACGUCAGCCCUGACCUGUUAUCAUUUCAAGAACUGGAAGACUUGCAAAUAUCCACAAACCUUGUUAAAAUUAGCUAAAACCCCCCAAAGCAAGACAAAUAUUAUUGGUUAUUUCCAAUAACAGAAAGGAGUUCAAAAUGUAUUAGAAAAUAUGGAGGCAACUUCAUGAAGUAUGUGUUGGGAAUCUACUUAUACAUGCACAGCAAAAAAUUAAAAUUAUUUCGAUUCCCAUCGAGGAUUCCUUUGUGUUUAGAUAGAAAUCGUGAUAAAGAUUGUACCUUUGACGAAUUUUGACAACCUUUUGCUUUUCUUUUCGUUCCAACAAUCUUGAUUCGCCACCCACAAUUAUCCAAUUGUCCAGCCUCCAACGGUGAUCAACACAGAGAAUAAGAUUGCAG